This is a long non-coding RNA of Rhincodon typus (whale shark), 687 nucleotides long. RefSeq lists it as uncharacterized. The transcript has 2 exons. The record is from RefSeq and is a predicted model, not a curated record. Lineage: Eukaryota; Metazoa; Chordata; Chondrichthyes; Orectolobiformes; Rhincodontidae.
GUCUCACCCCAUUUCCCUCCCAAAGAAGAUAAGUCAAAAGCCAUGAAUCAUAAACGAUAUGAUUUGAAAACAGAGGCAAUUGUUCAGCGCUUUGCAUUUCCUUGUUUAAAAAUGCUGGCUGUUAUUUCCCUAGCACAAAAAACACUGGAGUUGUGAAAUGUUUUCUAAGUUAAUGUUUUUCUUACUCAGACUCUGUUUCUGUACAUCCUUCCAGACUUUUUACCAACGAUUCCUCAAAGAUCUCCAGUUCUUCAAAUGAAAUUCGCAAGAGACAGGAUCCAGAACUCACCAUCUUUCACUGAAAAGGAGACAAGGUCCUAAGACAGAAGAGCAAAAAUUAGAUUGAAUAUGAGUUCUUCCAAAGUAAAAGAAAACAUUUCACAGAAAUUCUCAAACAAACAUAUGCAGCACCAAUGGAACCUCAAGAAAAAAGUGAACAAUCCAAUAGGGCACAGCAGACAGAACAGCACAGCAGGAUGCCAUAUAGAAUAUGUACCUGAGUGAUGAGGAUUGGACUGCCCUCCAAAACCUGUUCUUUUAGUAGCAGGUCUGCAAACGUGUCUGUUCCUUCCCCUCCCAUUCCAUUGGCAAAAACCUCCAUGACUGGCAAGACAGAUUCUGAGAGCUGCAGCCAUUGUACAAGUCCUUUAAUAAAUUUCAUUCUGAACUGCCUACAAAACCAAGAAA